UUUUUGAGAAUGUAAUGUUCAGAUUUGAUUUGUGGUUGCCCUGUUUUUUAAGUAUGUUAACCACUUCGUAUAUCUACUUGCUUUAGCCUGAUAGUCAUAUAGGCUCAAACACAUCAUUAAAAUAAAAAGGAAUCUAUAUUUUCUUACUUUCCUUCACAACAUUGUAUAAUUUUGAUGGCUUUUUAUUUUUAACAUCUUCAGAUUUAGGUCUGUAUGCUGGCAUAUUUAAGUGUUUGCAUUCCAAUUGUGGUCUCCACCAUCCUAAUUCUUACUACUUUUUUUUUUUUUUAAUUUUGAGAAGCCUUUUAAGGAUUUAUUUUUCAAUGGGCUUAGUAUUGCUGUACUCUUAUUGCUCAAUGAAUUUAUUAAAUUUAUAGUUAUACAAUGAUCAUCACAAUCCAAUUAUAUAGGCUUUCCAUCCCACAACCCCAGCACAUCCCCCCACCCACCCAAACAGUCUCCUUUGGAAACCAUAUGUUUUUCAAAGCCCAUGAGUCAGUAUCUGUCCUGCAAAGAAGUUCAUUGUGUCCUUUCUUCAGACUCCAGAUGUCAGUGAUAACAUUUGAUGUUGGUGUCUCAUUGUCUGACUGACUUCACUUAGCAUGAUAAUUUCUAGGUCCAUCCAUGUUGCUAAAAAUGCCAGUAUUUCAUUCCUUGUAAUGGCUGAGUAAUAUUCCAUUGUGGAUAUGUACCACAUCUUCUGAUCCACUCCUCUUUCAAUGGGCAUUUAGGUUGUUUCCGUGUCUUGACUAUUGCAAAUAGUGCUGCAAUGAACAUUGGAGUACAGGUGUCUUUUCGAGUCCUGGUUUUCUCUAGAGAGAUGCCCAGGCAUGGGAUUGCUGGAUCAAAUGCUAGUUCUACAUUUAGUUUUCUGAGGAAUGUCCAUUCUGUUUUCUACAGUGGUUGCACCAAUUUACAAUCCCACAAACAGUGGGAUAGGGUUAACCAUUAACUAACUGCUAAGCCACAAUUGGAACUCCAUUUUCUAUCAUAUUUUUGUUUCACAAAAUAAACAAAUUUAUAUCUAUAUUCAACAUUUAAGUAGACAACUUAAAUAUAUGCAUUCAACUAAAUAGUCUCAUAAUUUGAACAGUUUGAAAUGUCUAAUAUGUUAGAAUUUAAUAAUGAUUUUAAAAUUUUUCCAAUAUUGGAGAUAAAAGUAUUUCUAAAUCUAUCACCAUACAUACAGAAAGUAAAGUAUAGGUAAGUAUAGGCCUAAAAUAACAUUUUCUGGGGAAUUAUUUUCAAUGAUUAUAACAUAUCAUGAAAACUAGAGUCAGAGUCUUUUCUCUCUAUAUUGAAUGAAUUACUACAUUAAUUAACAGAUAGGUCUCUUUUCAAAAGAAUACACACAAACGCACAUAUACAAUUAUUCAUUGACUGCCUAAAACAGGAUACUUAGUAAUUGCUUAGUGGUGUUAAUAAAGAUUUGAUAGCCUUUUAUAAUCACUUACACAAAUGUUGGCAGAUUUUUAAAAUAUUUGUCAUCCCUAUGUUCUUAAAUGUAGAUUGCAAAUUAGAAAAUAUUUUACUAGAAAAAUAUUACCAUACAUAUGUACCAAUAUUGAAGUAGUAAAUACCCUACUCUUAUAAAUCUGCCGUGCUGAAGGACAUUUCAGAAAAACAGUAAAUCGGUUGAGAAUAACAGUCAAUCAGUUGAGAGCAACCUGAUUGUUUCCCUCCCUUUUUCAAUUACCUCCUCCAUCUUUCUGCUGUUCUUGCUUUCAUACUAUUUCAAUUUAUUUUCAAGAAUAAAAGCUGCCACAAAUCCAGAUAGGGUAGGUGCUAAACAGAUUGUUGCAUGGUAACACUUAGGGUUAAUUGACAUGUGAACACUAUGGAAUUAUUGGCCCUAUGAGAUAUAUUAAUAAAGAAAUUGUGAACUCUGCACUAAUACAUUUGUCUCAUCACAGUCCUAUAAGGGUAGAUUUGACUUCAGAUAAAAUUACAAGGAACAUUUUGUAUGAUAUCUAUGUCAUCUUAAAGUCUUCUUAAGUUAAACUAAAAACAAAAUUGAGAGAGUAAGAGAGCAAGAAUAAUAUUGGAAUCCAAGGAUAAGGAAAAUAAAACGUCUGGGGCAAAGAUGAUGUUUGUAAUUAGUACGUACUAUGAAUUGUAUUUGGAUAAAAAAAUCAUUUUGUUAGUCAUUUCAGCACCCUCUAGUAGGAUGAUUAGGUUUUAAGCUAUUUACAGUGAAAUCAGCGUGUUGAGGAUCACGGUUGUACAACUAGAAAUAUUUAAAUUAUGUAGUCUCUUUAUAAGGUGCCUAAGUUCUUUAAUGGAUGUCUUAAAAUGACUUGUUUUUCAAUGGACUCAUACUUUAUCAUUGGCAUGUAUCAAAAUUUAACAGAUAUUUAUUUUCAUGGGUUUAUUAUUCAGUCAACAACACUAACUAAAUUAACGUUAAUUUCUAACUCUGAAAGUUUUAUUUCUCCAAACUUUCUGACAAGCACCCAGUGAUCUUUCAAAGAAAUAAUCUUAUUUCAGAGCUUUCCACAUAAAGGAAUCUUUUUGUAAACUAUUAAGUGAAUACUAACUUCCUAAAUGUAUCUUGCUAUUUUGGAAUUAAGUAUAUCAUACACUUCUUGGCAAGAUUGUGUACUUGUAAUUGAGCAUGGGAACUUAACGAAAAUUCUUCCUUAUGACUAGUUAAACAUUUCCUGAAAGAUAAAAGAGGCUUUAGUGUGAUAAAUACUAUUGGCAACUGUUAUAAAAUUAUAAAACCAUUUAUUGGAGUAUAUAAAAGCCAUCCCAGCAAUAUGAGUGUAUUCUUGAUACAAAUUUAAAUACUAAAAAGUAUGAUUAGCCAUAUAGUUUCUGAGCCUAAGCUAUGUAAGUUCAAUGUGCUCCCAUUAUUUAAACUAGUAAAAUGAAAUGUACUUUGGAGUUUGUACACUAUUAACUGUGUAUGGUGAUUUAAAACUUUAAAUAUUAAUAUUUGCUACUGAAAGUAUUUUAGAUUAUUGGAAGUCACCAAAAUAGAUGUGCAUUAAUUUACUCAUUCACUAAGAAUCUUUGUUAGUUUCUCUUGCUACUGUAACAAGUUUGUGAUGACAAACUUAUUGGUUCAAAACAACACAUAGUUGUUACUUUACAUAUUUAGAGGUCAAAAGUCAAAAAUUGGUCUGAUAUGCUAAAAUCAAGUUUUUGACAGAGCUGAAUUCUUCUUGAAGGCUCUAGGGAAAACUCUGUUCCCUUGGUUUUUUCCUAGCUUCUAGAGGCAUCUUCGUUCCUGCUCUCCCGACUCUUUCCUCCAUUUUCAAAGAACAUCAUUCAAACCUCUGCUUUGUGUCAUCACACCUCUUCUCUUCUGACCCUAAUGUCAUGUUAUUGAACACAUACUGCAUACCAGACCCUAUGCUGACUGCUGGGUUUUGAUGAAGAAUAGUUCAUGCCAGCUUAGCUUAGAUUUUGUUAGAGAGAAUAAAAAUGUAGGGCCAAACACAUUUAUCCACUGCAUGUGGAUGUUAUUGUCUAUGACUUAAUGUCCUCAUGAAUCCAUCCUCUUGAGCUGUAGUGAAGCUAUUUUAAACUGGCAAAUUUAUCUCUGAAAUUUUUGUUCAAAUGGGUUGAGUGUCUUAUCCUCAAAAGCAAACAGGCAUUAUUUACAAAUGUAUUCCUCUUUCUUCCUGAGAAGGUGACUGGGGUAGAGGAUGAGAAUUCUUGACCUCCAAGAACUCAAAGAGGGAGCCUUGGAUAAGCUGAUAUCCACUGCCUCAUCACUAGUCCUGCUGUGAUGAGAUGAUCUGCUCUAAUUCCUAGAUACAAUGAAUUUAUUUCUGGUAAGUGAGGCUGCUGAACUUAUCUUUGAUUCUCUGGGGGAAUUUCAAAGCUUGAUGGUUCUCUUUAGCUGAUACAAUUAACACAGUUUUGGCUCUUAAGAUGCUAUGUAUUCUGAAGUAUAAGUUGCUCCAGACACAUUUACCUCUUUUUCCCAUGUAGGUUAGAUGGAACCCUUUUGGCUUCUAAUAUUAUUGUAUCCACAAGGGCUGGCUCUUGAUAUGUUUCAAGAGUGAAACAAAUUAAAUCUUUUCCUUUGGCUACUUUAAUG
RNAcentral lists this long non-coding RNA (4051 nucleotides) under Sus scrofa (pig). Its description in RNAcentral is "lncRNA (ENSSSCG00000060893.1)". Lineage: Eukaryota; Metazoa; Chordata; Mammalia; Artiodactyla; Suidae. The record is from RNAcentral.